UACGUAGGGUGCGAGCGUUAAUCGGAAUUACUGGGCGUAAAGCGUGCGCAGGCGGUUCGACAAGUCCGAUGUGAAAGCCCCGGGCUCAACCUGGGAAUGGCAUUGGAAACUGGCGAGCUUGAGUGUGGCAGAGGGGGGUGGAAUUCCGCGUGUAGCAGUGAAAUGCGUAGAGAUGCGGAGGAACACCGAUGGCGAAGGCAGCCCCUGGGCUGACACUGACGCUCAGGCACGAAAGCGUGGGGAGCAAACAGG
RNAcentral lists this ribosomal RNA (252 nucleotides) under uncultured bacterium. RNAcentral's name for it is "partial 16S ribosomal RNA". It matches the Rfam family "Bacterial small subunit ribosomal RNA", at positions 524 to 776 of the family's 1533-position model. The record is from RNAcentral.